This 98-nucleotide non-coding RNA is filed under the name Otolemur garnettii (small-eared galago). The record is from RNAcentral. Lineage: Eukaryota; Metazoa; Chordata; Mammalia; Primates; Galagidae.
GGCUGACUCCAGGGCAGUGGUAUUUAAAACUAUUGAUCACAAUCAGUUACAGAUUUGUGUUUUUCUUUAAUUUCACUGUUUCACUUGACUAGCUUUUU